Sipha flava (yellow sugarcane aphid) is the source of this 849-nucleotide long non-coding RNA. RefSeq lists it as uncharacterized. The record is from RefSeq and is a predicted model, not a curated record. The transcript has 4 exons. NCBI's taxonomy places the organism in Eukaryota, Metazoa, Arthropoda, Insecta, Hemiptera, Aphididae.
UAUGACAAUCAGCUCACAUGCAACUAAUCAGUUUGACCAACUAAUAAGUUUGUGUUUUGUCACAAAUCGUUCGAUUGCGCGAUUACAUCCUAUGUAUCAUGUGACACGAGAGUACAGUUACAUUUGUGAGUGCGGUAUGAUGAAACUGUUGCGCAACUAGUCGCAUCAUGGAUUUCGUCGAGAUAGCUGCAGUAUGUGUUCUCGAAUUAAAAAGAAGGAAGGCAAUAAAAAAGAAGAAAUAUUGGGUACAUCCUAUAACUUUUCAGCGAUUAUUGAAAGGACAGUUUUAUAAACUUCACAAUGAAUUACAGUCUUACCCGGUUAAAGUUUUUAAUUUUUAUCGUAUGAGUGUUAAAAGUUUUAAUGAUCUUCUAAAUUUGGUACAUUAAAUUAAGACACGCAAAUGCCUCUUGUUAUUACCUGUAUAUUCAAAAUUGUUAGAUGAGUUGGUGCUAUGAAAAACUUGCAACGGCCAGCAAUUCCUAAAGACAUACAUUGUUUGUGUAUUAGCUAGAUACAAUUUCAUCGUACAGUAUGCCAGACAAUUUCCUGAAAUCCAAAUACUGGUUAUUAUUGAAAAUCAAUUUUUUGUAGAAUUUGGACAUUGACAAAGAAACUUACAAAUCAGAGAUAUGCAAUCAAGAGCAGAAAGAGAUAAAACCUAUUAAUGUUCAGCAGCUCAAUAGAAAUCAUGGCAUUUUGGCAUUCUUGAGGAGAACUGGUCAUCACAAUGAUGAUUAUGUCAAAUUGAACCAUGUCCUUGAAUAUUUUUUUUUUUAGUAAAACAUUAUAUUAAUAGAACACUACCGAUUAAAUUGUAGCAUAAAUAUUGACAGAAAAUAGAGCUUU